AUGCCUAUGAUUUUUAGAUUCAGAAUUUAGUCAUAGUUCAGGCUGAACAGGGAUAGUUUAUUUUAUAUUUUCGAGAGUUUGCUUUUUCUCAAAAACAUACAGGAAGCAUUACUCGUAUAGGAUAUACACAAUAUAAACGAUGAAACGUACAGUCUGCAAACAACGUUUGGGCCCCGAGGAGCCUCGCCGCCAAACCAAGCGCAAGGGAGAAUCAGCUAAGAAAACAAAUUCGUGGAUCUUUAAGAAACCCAAUGCCGGACAAACCACAUGGCUUACCACAACUGGCGAAUUGAUUGGGGUGCAGAACAAACAUAUUGCUGAAUUGGGCAUUAAUAUAUACAAUUACGAGGAGCCAUACAUUGUCGAAGUGCAGAA
Long non-coding RNA from Drosophila montana, 375 nucleotides. RefSeq lists it as uncharacterized. The record is from RefSeq and is a predicted model, not a curated record. The transcript has 2 exons. NCBI's taxonomy places the organism in Eukaryota, Metazoa, Arthropoda, Insecta, Diptera, Drosophilidae.